RNAcentral lists this ribosomal RNA (285 nucleotides) under Triticum aestivum (bread wheat). RNAcentral's name for it is "partial small subunit ribosomal RNA". The record is from RNAcentral. Lineage: Eukaryota; Viridiplantae; Streptophyta; Magnoliopsida; Poales; Poaceae.
AUGGGGCCCCAGCAGGACCGGUCGGCGUCCAAGGCGCUCGCCAACGGCACGGCGGUGGCGCCCGAGAGGAAGGACGGCAAGGUGGUGCACUACAAGGAGUGCCAGCGCAACCACGCCGCCGGCAUCGGCGGGUACGCCGUGGACGGCUGCCGCGAGUUCAUGGCGUCCGCCCCCGCGGGCGCCGAGGCGCUCCUCUGCGCGGCGUGCGGCUGCCACCGCAGCUUCCACAAGCGCGAGGUGGAGGCCGUCGACUGCGACUGCUCCUCCGACACCUCCGGCCGGUGA